Scleropages formosus (Asian bonytongue) is the source of this 257-nucleotide long non-coding RNA. RefSeq lists it as uncharacterized. The transcript is spliced from 3 exons. NCBI's taxonomy places the organism in Eukaryota, Metazoa, Chordata, Actinopteri, Osteoglossiformes, Osteoglossidae. The record is from RefSeq and is a predicted model, not a curated record.
UCACUUAUGCACCACACGAACAACUCAAGAUGAAGCUUCUCCUCCAGCUCAUCCUCACCUGUGCGACCUUCUCUAAAGGUUAUCCACUGAAUUGCUACCAAUGCACAUCUGACUCCAAUGGACAAUGCACACAGACUACAGUGUGUCCAUCCUCUGCAAACACUUGUCAAAGUUCAACAGUUACUGUCUUCCAAGGAAGUUCUGUGCUGACUGAAACAUCGCUAAACUUCUGCACAACACCUCAACUAUGUAUCUCU